CGGGUGAGUAACGCGUAUGCAACUUGCCUAUCAGAGGGGGAUAACCCGGCGAAAGUCGGACUAAUACCGCAUGAAGCAGGGGCCCCGCAUGGGGAUAUUUGCUAAAGAUUCAUCGCUGAUAGAUAGGCAUGCGUUCCAUUAGGCAGUUGGCGGGGUAACGGCCUACCAAGCCGACGAUCAGUAGCCGACCUGAGAGGGUGACCGGCCACAUUGGGACUGAGACACGGCCCAA
This 232-nucleotide ribosomal RNA is filed under the name uncultured bacterium. Its description in RNAcentral is "partial 16S ribosomal RNA". It matches the Rfam family "Bacterial small subunit ribosomal RNA", at positions 103 to 334 of the family's 1533-position model. The record is from RNAcentral.